CGCACCUUGCACUCUCUGGUAUUCCGGAGAGUACGCCUGUUCGAGUGUCGUGAAACUCUCAAGCUGGAUGGGCUUUUAUUAGCCCGUCUUGGUUUGGAUGUGGACUCUGCUGUGUCACAACGGCUGGUCUUAAAGGCAUUAGCUGAAUCUUGAUGUGGGACUUGGUUCUUACUCGGCGUGAUAAUUAUCUGACCGCUGAGGACAUCUCUUUUUGGGGGAUGGCCAGACUCUUUCUCGAAUCGCUUCUAAUAUGCCGGAUAAGUCUCUCUGGGACUUUUCCGUCUUCAACCUUUGACCUCGAAUCAGGUGGGACUACCCGCUGAACUUAA
Molecule: unclassified non-coding RNA, 329 nt
Filed under: Basidiomycota sp.
Lineage: Eukaryota; Fungi; Basidiomycota
Description: partial contains 5.8S ribosomal RNA, internal transcribed spacer 2, and large subunit ribosomal RNA
Source: RNAcentral